Molecule: long non-coding RNA, 530 nt
Organism: Fukomys damarensis (Damara mole-rat)
Lineage: Eukaryota; Metazoa; Chordata; Mammalia; Rodentia; Bathyergidae
Source: Ensembl
GGCCACUGCCUUGAUCAACAUUCCUGAAACUUGGAGUUAGAAGCCAUAAUGAGGAGGAAGAGGAAGGAGAGCCUUUGCAGAUGGAAUCAAUGCAGAAUCUUAUUUACAGUAAUCAGCGUAUAGGGAACAAAUGAUUAUCACCCAAGGAGUCUACAACAUCCACAGAGGGCCUUUGGGGGAAGCCAGUUCUUGUUUUGAAAGCACUUUGAAGAUGAAAAGGUGUCCAACCCUCCAGAGACUUGAGCUAAGAAAUAUCAGGGUUUCCAUAAAUAUUGAAGAGAUGAAUGCAUGCAAGAAGGGAUGAAUGAGCAAAUAAGCAUGCACACGAGAUCUGGGGUCCACAAUUCACAGGGUGCUGAAAAGGUACAAAUUCACUAGGGAGCCUGGGCUUUGAAGUGACGCGAGCUCACAGUACCUGAAACUCAGUGGGAAUCUGUUGUGGAACUACAAGUUUCUCCCAAAAAGGUAUGUUGAAGUCCUAAUGCCCAGUACCUCAGAAUGGAACUUAUUGGGAAAUAAGGUUGUUACUG